RNAcentral lists this ribosomal RNA (521 nucleotides) under uncultured bacterium. RNAcentral's name for it is "bacterial SSU rRNA". It matches the Rfam family "Bacterial small subunit ribosomal RNA", at positions 46 to 616 of the family's 1533-position model. The record is from RNAcentral.
GCUUACCAUGCAAGUCGAGCGCACUCUUCGGAGUGAGCGGCGGACGGGUUAGUAAGGUUGGGAACGUGCCCUUCUCUAAGGAAUAGCCUCUGGAAACGGAGAGUAAUACCUUAUACGCCCUUUGGGGGAAAGAUUUAUCGGAGAAGGAUCGGCCCGCGUUAGAUUAGAUAGUUGGUGGGGUAAUGGCCUACCAAGUCUACGAUCUAUAGCUGGUUUGAGAGGAUGAUCAGCAACACUGGGACUGAGACACGGCCCAGACUUCUACGGAAGGCAGCAGUGGGGAAUCUUGGACAAUGGGCGCAAGCCUGAUCCAGCCAUGCCGCGUGAGUGAUGAAGGCCUUAGGGUCGUAAAGCUCUUUCACCAGGGAUGAUAAUGACAGUACCUGGAAAAGAAACCCCGGCUAACUCCGUGCCAGCAGCCGCGGUAAUACGGAGGGGGUUAGCGUUGUUCGGAAUUACUGGGCGUAAAGCGCACGUAGGCGGACUAAUCAGUCAGAGGUGAAAUCCCAGGGCUCAACCCU